AUUGAACGCUGGCGGCAGGCCUAACACAUGCAAGUCGAGCGGAUGAAGGGAGCUUGCUCCUGGAUUCAGCGGCGGACGGGUGAGUAAUACCUAGGAAUCUGCCUGGUAGUGGGGGAUAACGUCCGGAAACGGGCGCUAAUACCGCAUACGUCCUGAGGGAGAAAGUGGGGGAUCUUCGGACCUCACGCUCUCAGAUGAGCCUAGGUCGGAUUAGCUAGUUGGUGGGGUAAAGGCCUACCAAGGCGACGAUCCGUAACUGGUCUGAGAGGAUGAUCAGUCACACUGGAACUGAGACACGGUCCAGACUCCUACGGGAGGCAGCAGUGGGGAAUAUUGGACAAUGGGCGAAAGCCUGAUGCAGCCAUGCCGCGUGUGUGAAGAAGGUCUUCGGAUUGUAAAGCACUUUAAGUUGGGAGGAAGGGCAGUAAGUUAAUACCUUGCUGUUUUGACGUUACCAACAGAAUAAGCACCGGCUAACUUCGUG
This 484-nucleotide ribosomal RNA is filed under the name uncultured bacterium. RNAcentral describes it as "partial 16S ribosomal RNA". It matches the Rfam family "Bacterial small subunit ribosomal RNA", at positions 30 to 507 of the family's 1533-position model. The record is from RNAcentral.